GAUGAACGCUGGCGGCGUGCCUAAUACAUGCAAGUCGAGCGAACAGACGAGGAGCUUGCUCCUCUGACGUUAGCGGCGGACGGGUGAUUAACACGUGGAUAACCUACCUAUAAGACUGGGAUAACUUUGGGAAACCGGAGCUAAUACCGGAUAAUAUAUUGAACCGCAUGGUUCAAUAGUGAAAUACGGUUUUUCUUUCACUUAUAGAUUGAUCCGCGCCGCAUUAGCUAGUUGGUAAGGUAACGGCUUACCAAGGCAACGAUGCGUAGCCGACCUGAGAGGGUGGUCGGCCACACGGGAAGUGAGACACGGUCCAGACUCCUACGGGAGGAAGCAGUAGGGAAUCUUCCGCAAUGGGCGAAAGCGGGACGGAGUAACGCCGCGUGAGUGAUGAAGGUCUUCGGAUCGUAAAACUCUGUUAUUAGGGAAGAACAAAUGUGUAAGUAACUAUGCACGUAUUGACGGUACCUAAUCAGAAAGCCACGGCUAACUACGUG
This 497-nucleotide ribosomal RNA is filed under the name uncultured bacterium. Its description in RNAcentral is "partial 16S ribosomal RNA". It matches the Rfam family "Bacterial small subunit ribosomal RNA", at positions 28 to 507 of the family's 1533-position model. The record is from RNAcentral.